CCCUUAGAUGUCCGGGGCUGCACGCGCGCUACACUGAAGGAAUCAGCGUGCUAAAACCAUUGUCGAAAGGCAUUGGUAAACCCAUUAAAAUCCUACGUGAUUGGGAUCGGGAAUUGCAAUUAUUUCCCUUGAACGAGGAAUUCCCAGUAAGUGUGGGUCAUAAGCUUGCGUUGAUUACGUCCCUGCCCUUUGUACACACCGCCCGUCGCUGCCCGGGACUGAGCCGUUUCGAGAAAAGCGGGGACUGCUGCUGUCGGGGCUUUCGGGCCUUGGCUUCGGUGGAAACCGCUUUAAUCGCAGUGGCUUGAACCGGGCAAAAGUCGUAACA
This 328-nucleotide ribosomal RNA is filed under the name uncultured eukaryote. RNAcentral's name for it is "partial 18S ribosomal RNA". It matches the Rfam family "Eukaryotic small subunit ribosomal RNA", at positions 1470 to 1796 of the family's 1831-position model. The record is from RNAcentral.